GGAUGGAUGUCUAAGUGGUUGAAAGAGUCGGUCUUAAAAACCGAAGUAUUGAUAGGAAUACCGGGGGUUCGUCUU
This 75-nucleotide transfer RNA is filed under the name Triticum turgidum subsp. durum (durum wheat). RNAcentral's name for it is "Triticum durum (durum wheat) tRNA". It matches the Rfam family "tRNA", at positions 1 to 59 of the family's 71-position model. Rfam says of the family: Transfer RNA (tRNA) molecules are approximately 80 nucleotides in length. Their secondary structure includes four short double-helical elements and three loops (D, anti-codon, and T loops). The record is from Rfam by way of RNAcentral. Lineage: Eukaryota; Viridiplantae; Streptophyta; Magnoliopsida; Poales; Poaceae.